Callithrix jacchus (white-tufted-ear marmoset) is the source of this 2422-nucleotide long non-coding RNA. The record is from Ensembl. NCBI's taxonomy places the organism in Eukaryota, Metazoa, Chordata, Mammalia, Primates, Cebidae.
UGAAACUGAAAAGGUAUAGACUUCUGUGCUCUUGUAUUAACACGUUAUAUGAUUUAUAAUCAUAUUGUGGUUUAGUUUUUUUUAGCCCCAAAAAGUAAUUGAGAUGUUUUCUUCUGAAUCUUACAGGAUUACAGGAAGUAAAAACUGAAGGCCCGGCACGAUGGCUCAAGCCUGUAAUCCCAGCACUUUGGGAGGCCGAGGCAGGUGGAUCACGAGGGAAAACAUUUACGGCGAAGACAUCCAAGUUCUCAAAAGAAUGUAUCAGCCAGCUGCUUCUCCACUGAAGACUAACCUUGACAAGCCCAAUACCCCUCCAGCAUUCUAGUGGGUUUGGAGGACGGCAUCAGUUGUGAAGAAUUGUGGCCAAAAUGCGGUGGGAUGGGGGGUGGGGAAGCAGUUUGAAGAAAACAAGGUCUAAAGAAGGUAAAAAGUAACAACAAACAAAAACCCUCGCACAAUUAUACAGGGAAAAUAAAGUGUCUUCAAGAAAGGAAUGGCAAGCCUACUAUACUGCAUAGCUCAGCUAUAAACAUCAUCUACACAUAUACUCAUUUAAACAGCAAAUAUUAAUAUAAAUAAACUCUAUUAUGUCUAUACCAGCAGGUGGGGAGUUAUAUGUGUUAGGAGCAAGAGAAAAUCAUCUUCCAUACAAAGUCGUUUUUAUAUGAUCCCUAACUUUUUAAAAAUUAUAACUUUUAAUGAAGCAGCUGGGAGGUAGAUGCCUAAUUAAAGAUGUGAACACAUCUGUCUUUGAGGAGCAGGAGGGAGCUAGGAUUGAGGGGCUGCAAGGUUUAGUCAAUAAGACUUAUUGGACUAUUUGAUUUCUUACGUUCUAUAGCACUUAUAAUACAUGAGAUACUUUUAAAAGUAAAUUUUAAAAAUAAACUAAGCACAAACUUUUUGCAGCCAAAAGAAGGGUGAGAAGAACCAAGCUUCUUAUAAAAAAUAUAUUGUAUCUACUCCCUUGCACAGGUUGGGAUGUAUCUUUUGGAUGACAAUGUGACAGGGAUGUGGCUUGUGUUUGGUUUUAAACAUUGUAUCUUUGAACACACUGUCAUUUAAGUAUCCACAGAAACUCUAUGUUAGCUUGGGGAGUAAUGCAAAUGUCUUUGUAGUUUCCUUGUUUCAAUCAGGUUAGAGAUCCUUGGAGUAUUACCAGUCAGCUUCCACAAACCAUAGUGGGGUGACAUCUGUUUGAAGGGCUGGAUCUGUCAUCCCUGUAAAUCAGAUACUGUUGACAUUGCCUAAGUCAGAGGUCUUCCAACCUUUUUGGCACUAGGGACCAGUUUCAUGGAAGACAGUUCUUCCACAGGAUAGGGCAGGGAUGGUUUCAGGAUGAAACUGUUCCUCCUCAGAUCACCAGACGUUAUAUUCUUGUAAGGAGUCUGCAAACCUAGAUCCCUUAUGUGCACAGUUCACAAUAGGAUUCAUCCUCCUCUGAGAAUCUAAUGCAGCUGGUGAUCUGACAGGAGAUAGAGCUCAGGUGGUGAUACUUGCCCUCCAGCUGGUCACCUCCUGGACCCAGUUCCUAAGAACAGGUCACAGACUGGUAGCAGUUUGCAGCCCAGGGGUUGGGGACCCCUGGCCUAAGUCAUCUGAAAAUUAUGUCUAUGCAAUUUCUCCAGUAUGUUUUAUCUGAAAUAAUGAGCAAGGACGAAGCUGACCCCAUUCAAUAAAGUAGGGACAAGGGAAAGAAGAUAAUAUUUCUCAAAUACCAGACCCCAUGCUAAGGGCUCUACAUACUUUACGUCAUUUAAUCCUCACAGCAACACUACUAGGUAGAUCUUGUUAUCUUUGCAUUUAAGAUGGGGAAACGGAGAAGUUAAUUACAAAGUCAUACAGUAAGAAAAUAGGUCGGCUGAGAUCAGAACGCCAACAUAGCUGAUUCAUUGUGUAAUGUUUGUUGAUUUCAUUUAUUACCUAUAAGGUCAGGCUCUAUGAAGAACUAAAUGUAAUGAACAAUGAUAAGGAUAGAGUGAUGCUUGGAGUCUUAAAAGUAAAUUUCAUUGUACAUUGAAUCCUCUUAUUUCUUGUGGAGAAACGCUUCCGUAAGAGUGAGUAGGAAAAUGCUACAUACAGAUAAUUGCUUUACACCCUGGACAUCAGAAACACGUCUAAUCGUAUGGAGAGAUCUACCACCAGAAAACAUGCCAACAGAUUCUGAAAUGAAUCAUCAAACCCCAUAGAGAUCAGGGAUUUGUGUGACAAGUAAGAAGGCUUUGCUAACAGUCAUUCCUUGCUGACAUGUUAAUCUAGUUUGACAGAGUCAGUGCCUUGUAGAUUGAGAGGAAACAAUAAAGAAUAUUUCCUGAUGUUGGCAAAGGCUCUUCAAUUCAGUCAGUUUACACACUUCUGGGAAAACAAACGUUUGAUGUUGCAUUGGUGAAUAAAAGCAAAAUAACAAUCUAUACAUGCCAUUUGA